This 608-nucleotide long non-coding RNA is filed under the name Chrysolophus pictus (golden pheasant). RNAcentral describes it as "lncRNA (ENSCPIG00010013104.1)". Lineage: Eukaryota; Metazoa; Chordata; Aves; Galliformes; Phasianidae. The record is from RNAcentral.
AAAAGCUUAUGUCUAAAUUUAGCCCUAUAAGCAUGUUUUGCUUUUUUCUCAUCAAAACAUUUUAGAAGUAUUAAUUAGGAGUGUUGAAAGAGGCUACUCAAGAAUCCCAUGGCCAUCCUGUAUAGGUAAACACAUGUUCACCUUCAAAUUGCAUGAAGAUGUAAUCUUCAAUUAACAUCUUGUACUAAACAACAGUGGCCCAUCCUGCUUUCCUGGCAAACCUCCAGAUUUCACCUUGUCAGCAGACCUUGAGAAAAAGCUAUGCCUGUUUGUCAGUUUCGUUACUGUCUUUGAUGAUUUGGUGUUGCCCAUCGUCAGCCAUGUCACUAAACUGAUUUCUCUGUGGAAUACAGAUGUGUCAGCUGUCAAGCUCACAGUCUGAACAGCACGUGCCUCCUGAAGUUCUUGCUGAACUUGGAAGCAACACCCUGGAAGCUGAUGGAGCUACACAAACAUGUGAUCCCAACAGAAAGAAGAAGCGGGCUCUUUUAUGCAACAUACUUUAUGUGAGAGACCUUACUGUGAACUCAGACGGUGAAAUACUUGCCUGUUGGUCUGUUCAAAAGCUGAAAGAUCUUUUUGUAAGUCACCUCAAUUCUAUACGAGAG